AUGACUCCUAGGAAAACAAAGAUUAACUGCUGUGAAUGUUCCAAACUCCAUGUUCUGCCCCAUGAGAAGCAGAGAAAUGCCAUGCAUUUUCAGUUGUCAUCUGAGAGGGAUCCUACACACUGGCUCUGGGAAGGAAACUGCCUUUGGUUAGAGCAACUUGUGUCUGGACUCAAAUGGACACUUUACAGAACAGAGGUAUCCAAAGACAGGUUUGUUGGUUUGACUCAUCUUUCAUUCAGCUCAUUGUGCUGUUCCAAAAGACUGCUGGUAAAUGGAAAUCUACUUUUAAGUCUUUUAUAGUAUUUGCAUGCUUACAUGGUUUAUAGGUGAUCUAAAGUUCAAAACUGCCAGUGGAGCUACAGAAAUAUUUGAGAUGAACGGGGCUCCUUGUCACUGGAGGCAACCUAUACAAGAUUUGCACUCUGGUGCAAAAAGUGUGUCUAUUUCUGCAGACAUUUCACCAAAACAAGCAACUUCAUAUAAGUGAGUAGUCAACUUUGAACAAGAGCACUAAUUGUACUGAUGAGGCUUAGCAGGACUGAAACAAGAAUUAUGAAAAGACUUCAUGUUCUAUCAAAAAUGGUUUAAUUUCUUACAAGGGGUUGAAAAUUAAAAAGAAUGAUGGAAGGAGCUGUACAUAAUUUCUAGGGUAAUGUUUGUGCAACUGAAAAAUUUUGGUUGCUGUCAAAAUAUUUCUGUGUUACUAUCACAACAUAGGUGUAACCUGCCACAUUCUGAUAGAGAUUGACAUGUUCAAAAACUGGAAUAUUGAUGGACUCCUGAACUUUGCUGUCUCAUCACGGUGAAGCCAUUUGAAGAAUAGCACAGAAGCAGUUUAGAAAACCUUGGCUAAUCAAAUUUGUCAGACAAUAGGAAAAUGUUUGAAGAGAAGGAUUGAUACCAGGAAAGGCCCAAUGGACCGAGUACUGUGAGGGAAGGGCAUGUGUGACUUAACAGGAAGGAUUUCCUUUUUAACUCAGGCUAGAGUUUGAUGAAUAUUUCCUUUGAUGGAAGUGCUGGAUAAAUCAGCUUUGUAGGGAGGGAAAGAAGCUGGUUUUGAUCUUAGUUAUUUCUCCAGCCUGGCUCACUGUGUGACAGCACAAAUUAAAAUGCACAACAAAAGGCAGUGGCAAGAAGGGCAGGCAAAAGUGAAGUUAGGGCUUAUCAAAGCCUGUCUGAGAUGGCCCCCAUGGAGAAGAGGCUGUUUGGAGACACAUGUACUGACAGAGGCAUGGGUAGGCAGAACGGGUGCAUUAAGAGCCAUUUGAGCUAAACCCAGAGCCUGCCUGGUAGGAGGGAAAGGCAGGGAGGAAACCUGAACAGAGAAAUGCAUAAAGAAGUUUCUACUGUGAGCAGAAGGCAAAGCUGAACAGGCUGCUUGCUUCCCUCAUGGCACAACACUGAAGGGUAGCCUCCAGCACUAAGCAGGACAGCAAGUCUGAGUUCAUAAAAGGACUUCACUUCAGCUAGUGAGGGUGCUGAGGAAGUUUUAUAGAAGAAUGGGCACUAGCACUGGUGACAACAACCAGCAGUGCUAAGGACCUCCUUCUGUGAGGCUUGUAGGUGGCCAGACAGUGAAAACAUCUGGUGCUUGGUUAUCCUAACGAAGGGUUAAAAACCUACUGGUUUUGACUGCAUAUGCUUAGCAUGCUCAUGAAUUUUAGCAGGACAGUUUGCUGCUAUGUCAGGAUAAAGAAAACUGAGAGUUUAAUUCAGAGUACGUUGUAUUUUCAAUCUGCUCGCUGGUACAUGGGAAGUAUAUGAGGGAUUUUAACUAUCUUUUCUUUAGAAAGGAUCAUUUGCUGAUAUAAAAUUUUCUAUGAGUCUCUAAGAAAGGGAAUUUUUAAAAUCUUUUUUAUAUAGAAAUGUAAAUUUCCACAUUUUGCAAAAUUUUAUGUAGAGUAACUUAGUAUAUGAUAAUAUUCUCUAACAAUAUUUGUUUAUAUCAAAGAUUUUCAGAAUUACCUUAUUAAGUAAAAGUUGUUGCAUGAUUUUGCUAAUCUCUGCCCUAUUUUCCUCUCUCUCAGUAUGAGCUGUUCUGAAAUUAUGUUCACGUACUAGAAGACAAAGUGCCAAGUACCUAAUUUAGUACUCAGCAGUUACAUCCAAAUUUCAGUUAUUGUAUAACACCAAAUACUCUAAAGAUGACAAGCUCAAGAAAUACUUGCCUUAGACUGGAAAACUGUCAGCACUUUGUAUUAGACAGUAUUAUUCAAAUUACAUUUAAAUUGCACUUUAUUAUCUAGGUGGCCUGAAUGAUUUUAACAACCUGUUUGUAAUGUGUGUGACCUCUGUGACUAAGAGAACUAUUGUAGCCUGAUUGCCCACAAUUGUACAGAAAAAAAAAAAAAAAGAUAUAGGAAGAGUUUUACAAACUGCUUGUGAACUAUGCAAAAAAACAAGAAAACAAGGAUCAAUCAAUGGAAUUUUAAAACACUUAUGUGGAUUAGAAACAUGUACUGUGAUUAGGCUCCCAGGGUUUUUGGAUGUGUUUGAAAAUCCUUGCUAUUCUGACAAAGAUUUCAGAACUAAUUUAUCUUAAGGAUAAACAUAAUUCAUUACAUUUUAAAUUACCCUUUCAAAAUGCAUUAAAGCUUGUACACAAAAGUUUCAACAAAGCAGUGAGAAAUAUACUCCACUCAUUCCAAGAUGUUUUAUUUUUUAGUUAUAGCUACAGGUAUAAUUACUUUAUUUGGAAAAAUAGUUGGAUUUUCAGUCAUGAUAUUCUGUCUUGAAGAGAAUUUCUGACUCUGGGUGAACUUUGAAUAUUAAGUCAUUGAACAUUAAAUAACAGUGAAUCUCUAUAAAAUAGAAAUUUUAUCUUUUUGACUCAAAGGGUUACAAUUUAAAGCUUCUACAUAAACAUAAUAAACUAUGAAGUCAGGUAGCUCUAAGGACA
Molecule: long non-coding RNA, 2899 nt
Organism: Lonchura striata (white-rumped munia)
Lineage: Eukaryota; Metazoa; Chordata; Aves; Passeriformes; Estrildidae
Source: Ensembl